CAAUGGGGCAGAGAAGACGGGCAUUAGACAAUCAGAGAGGGGUCAUUUUAUUGUGGUUAUUUCUGUACUUUGCCUUCUAAUUCCCUGCUGGGAGCAAAUGCACCAUUAAACAAUUUCUGCUUCUUGGGCACAGUUUGAAGGAGAAAAAAAUGCUGAAUAACUGCAAAUAACUGAAGCUGCUAGUUUUGGAAUCAGAAGCUUUGUGGUGAUGUCAAAGCAACACUAAUGUGUAAAUGUAAGAUUUAGUACUGAGGUUGCAGUAUUUCUUAGAGACCCCAGUCGUGGGCCAGGACCCCAUUGUGCUAUACAAAUGAAAUAAAAGACACUCCCUGCGCCAAGGAAUUUAUAAUCUAAGCAUGAGACAAGAGACAACAGAUUAAUACAACAGAUGGGAUGGGAUGCUUCCUGGGGGUACCCAGAGUUAUGAGGUACCUCACUACAAUUUGCCCUCAGCGUGAGGAAGCCUUGUCCGUAUCUUCUGUGGGCCAGGUCCCUGACUCCUUUGGGCAUGGACAACACAAGCACUCCCCUCUCAGAUUAUGCAGACUCUGCUGUCCCUCUGCAGGUUAGCACCUGGCAUGCUUCAAUCCUCACUCCCGCUAAGCACCCUUGUGGAGCGUCCACCCUGUUUCACUGGACACUCUCAGUAUUCACAGAUUUGUUGCUUUCAAAGGAACAGUACACCUUAGUUUACCAGUUUCACUUAAGAUCAUUGCUCUGCUUAUGACGCAGCACUUAGAUAUAUUGAUAGUGAAAACAAAAUAAAGAGAUUUGAGAAGAAGCAAGCAAAAGUAAUGGAAAGAAAUGUUUCAAUGUAAAAUAAAACCAUAAGAUGCAUUUUAUGCAUUUUAGAACCUAGAAUUAAUUAACAAGAUAUUCUCCUAAUACAGUAUAGCUCACCAGCACUGUGAUCACCAGGCCAGUGACUGGCUGUGAUCCCUCUCUCAUGAGACAUAACACACUGUCAGCUUGUCUCCUCAGUGAAAGGAUACUGUGUUUCUUUGCAACCCCAGAUACAUCAAAACAGUCCCUUUAUUCAUAACCCAGGCACCUCUUGCUGUGUGCGUCUUCCUGGAGAUUUUGCAAUCUUGAUUAGUUGGUGGCUGCAUAUGCAAAUAGGCUUACAUUGUGAGAGACACAAUGCACAAAGACAAGACAAAGAGACGCAUCUACAAUCCCCCGCCUGAACAGAACCUGAAGUGUAUCACCUUUUCAUUUCAAGGCUUUAAGAACAUAAUUUCCAGUGUAGGUACAUAACUUCUUAAAUAUUAUCCCAUCCAUAUAUUUUGCAAUGAUUCUGAUAAACAGUGGGCUAUAUGCUCUCAAUAGAGACUUUACAUGCCACCCUUUGGUGAAUUAUUAUGCACAGAUAUGACCCAGUGGAUCCCUGUAAAACUCUAUGCCCACCUGUGCCCUCUGCCCGUUGACACAAAGAAGUUCUUGGAUCAUAGGGAGCAUAAGGGAAUAAUAAGUCAAUGCUGGUCAGCAUAAUAAGCAGUAGCCUCAGCACACCAGUUAUCUUUGUGAGUGUUUAUGUGAAGCUGCUCUGAUGUAUGAAGGGCAGCAUGGAAGAAAGCAGCAAGAAGCUUGUUUGAAAACUUUAACAAGUGUGCGCUGAAGGCUGGUACCAUUGACAGGGUGGCCAUCAAUAGAAUAGGAGAGAUGCUAGGGUGGAGAUAGGCCAUGAAGGGCCUGGAUAGUGAAGAUGUGUGGUUUGUGUUUGCAGUGGAGAAGGGGAAGCCUGUGCAGGAACACAGAGAGUGGUGAUAUGACAAGCCAGGAAAAGAGUCUUUGUAGAAUUGCCUUCAAUGGAUAUGAGUGGAGCAAGACUGUAUUUGUAAAGGCCAGAGAAAAGGUUGUACUAUUUGAGCCACAAGAUGAUGGGGCCUGGACGAGAGAUUGGGCUGUGUGGGUGAUAAUGAAAGACUGUAUCUCUUUCAGGAACAAAUGGCAUGAUUCAGGUAGGGCCUGGAUGAGAGGAUCUAGGGGGAGGGCUGAGUGAUGGUAAUGUUCUUAUUUGCUAUGACACUUGAGGAUCCAUAAAUCCAUCUAAAAGACUAAUUCAGACCUCAUUAAAAUCUGAAACCAUAGUAAUAAUGUUAAAAUCCAAAAAUGUAUAAAAAUACAAACUAAGUGGUAUGGUAAGAGCCCUUUAUGGCACUGACAGCUAGCUAGCUCAGGUCACAACCUCAAAUUGGUGUUAGGUGUACCAAUUCACUUGGGCUGAUAGGCAUUGUAAUAGGAUCAAGCCAAUUCACUUAUCUCUUAGAAUAGUUCAAAGAAAUGUUUGUGAUAUUGUCCUCACAUAUCGGUAACUUGUUGAUUUGCAUUAUAUAUGUUCACCCUAUGCUUAAUUAACCCUAGAUCAGAGGUUUGUGUUAGCAUUAAGAUGAGAAUUUGCUUGCUGUGUAGCGGUCUUGAAAACUAAUGAAUAUUUUUUAUAUUGUUUUCACUUAUCUAUCUAUCAAAAUGUAAUGGCAGGUAAUUGUAUGUGUACAUGACUGUAACUGGAUUACUUGUGUAUCAUAGGAAGUAGAAUGUUAAUUUCAAAGCAAGUGGUCCUUGAUGUUGUGACUGAGGUCAAAGACCCAAAAUGCAUUCUUCAUCAAAGGAAGAGACCAUGCUCUAAUAAAUCUUUUGUUUAGUUUACUAGAGAAACUGGCUUCAGCAUUAUCUUUGGUGAGAUCUGGAAUAUACCUUGACCUGGAGGGGGUUACCCUUUAAGAAGAAAACAGAUCUGGAACUGAGAACUAUGCUCAGGGACUUUGACCAAAAAGCAAGGUCUCAGCACCCCUGACCCCAGCACGAGAUGCCGCAGACCCUGGCUGUCGAGCAAGAAUAUAAGCAUGAAAUGAAAAUGAUAGAACUCCAAAUGAAAGAGGAGCAAGCGAUCGCUAAGAUGGAGAAGGAAGCCCACCUGAGAUGCAUGGAGCAGCUAGCGGCUGAGAAAGAAGCUCAUGCAAUGCUGCUAGAAAUCCUGGACAAGCAAAAGGACCAGCCUCAGCCUUUGCGUCCAUCCCCUCUCAACAUCAGGGAAGGGGAAAAAACCUGCCCAAUUUAUCAGGAAUCUGACUGCCAUGAGGCAUUCCUAGCCACCUUUGCGAGACUGUGUACUAUCCAUAAGAUUCCAGAGAAUAAAUGGAUGCCAAUCCUGUUAAUCAGGUUGACUGGAAAAGCCAGACAGGUAUUUAAUGAAAUGGUGGUGGAGGAUGCUAUGAUAUAUAAGAACUUUGAAGAAACUAUAUGGAAAAGAUUUAAAAUCACCCCUGAGUCUUAUUUCUUGAAGUUUAGAAAUCUUAAAAUGCCUGACAAUAUAAUUUAUGUGGAAUAUAUGUAUAAACUGUGUAGUUAUGUGAAAAAAAGAAACGGAUUAUUAGGGCAGUGCUGACAGUGACUUUAAUAAGCUGUUAGGUUUGGUAAUACAAGAGCAAUUAUUAUGGGUAGUCAUUGAUGAGGUAAAAGCAGCUAUCUGUGACAAAAAACCUUAACAGUUUUAAAAGCAGCAAAAACUGCUGAUGAAUAUGUUGAGUCCAAAACUCAGAAAGGGCGCAAGCCCCAGGGAAAGGGUUAUACCUCUGCUCCUCAGGGUGAAAGGGCUGAAGGGUUUAAAAAUAAACCUAACCACAACUUUGUUAAAAAACCUCCAGGGAGCCAGAUUUGAAAACAUCUUACCACAAAGGGAAACCGGUAGUCUGUCAUCAGCGUGGGACCCUGCCCAUAUAAAGCCAAAUUGCCCAAAGCUUAAAACCACCCAACAACAUGCACCCACAACCCCCAUCAUGAGUGCCAAUGUUACAACCACAAGUGCUAACACUACUACAUUAGACACAGGGAAAAUUGUGGAGGAGAAAAGUGUCUUCAUAAAUUAUAUUAGAACUGAGUCUUGGGAAGGGAGUGAAGAAUGUAUUAAGAGUUUAUUAUUUAUGCAAGGGUAACUGGCACUGAGUGUACUGGGUGGCAGGACACAGUGUCUCAUGUCACUUUGAUUAAAGAAAGUUUUGUGAGAGGAAGAUAGAUUGCCUGGCAAAAAUAUAAAUCUUUUAGCUUUGGCUGAAUAUUCAAUGACUGUGCAUCUGGCUAAAAUCCACCUGAAGUGGGAAAGUUUUAAGGGUGAUAUUGUGAUUGGCAUUAGGAAUUUGCUACCUCCUGAUAUUUCAGUAUGCAAUAACAUUGUAACUAUGUCAAAGCAGAUUAAUGUUAUAACCAGUUUCCAGGGAAAGUGGCUGAUGUGAUUAGGCCCUGUGAUGGUGUCCCCUGAAUAGAUAUGUGGACACAGUUGGCAAUGGGCUUUGUUGCAAGGAUCGGUUCCUGGGUUAGUGGUUCU
Long non-coding RNA from Chelonia mydas (Green sea turtle), 4324 nucleotides. RefSeq lists it as uncharacterized. Lineage: Eukaryota; Metazoa; Chordata; Testudines; Cheloniidae. The transcript is spliced from 3 exons. The record is from RefSeq and is a predicted model, not a curated record.